This 253-nucleotide ribosomal RNA is filed under the name uncultured bacterium. RNAcentral's name for it is "partial 16S ribosomal RNA". It matches the Rfam family "Bacterial small subunit ribosomal RNA", at positions 524 to 776 of the family's 1533-position model. The record is from RNAcentral.
UACGUAGGUGGCAAGCGUUGUCCGGAAUUACUGGGCGUAAAGCGCACGUAGGCGGCUUUGUAAGUUAGAGGUGAAAGCCCAGGGCUUAACCCUGGAAUUGCCUUUAAGACUGCAUCGCUAGAAUCGUGGAGAGGUGAGUGGAAUUCCGAGUGUAGAGGUGAAAUUCGUAGAUAUUCGGAAGAACACCAGUGGCGAAGGCGACUCACUGGACACGUAUUGACGCUGAGGUGCGAAAGCGUGGGGAGCAAACAGG